AUCGUGAUAGGAGACUUCAACAUGAUCACGGAUCCUAGAGAUAAGAACAACGACCGAAUUUGCCGUCGUUGGAUGAACAAAUUCCAUCGCUCGCUGAAUAGAUCUAGUCUUCAUGAAUUGCCUCUGAUUGGAAGGAAAUUCACAUGGAGCAAUGAACAAGAUUCGCCUACCCUUGUGCGCCUUGACCGGGCCUUUGCGAAUGUUGAUUGGGAGCUCCUGUUCCCUGCUGCUAAGGUGCUCCCGCAGGCCUCCUCGGUUUCGGAUCACUGCCAUGAGAUUCUGAAAACCAACAGGAGGUUUCGCUUUGAAUCUUACUGGCUAUUCAUUGAUCGUUUCAAGGAGGUUGUCGCUCAAUCAUGGGCUGUUCCAGUCGGUGGUAGAUGCCCCAUUGCUGCCUUGAAUUUCAAGCUUUGGCAUCUAAGCAAAGCAUUGCGUGAAUGA
RNAcentral lists this ribosomal RNA (441 nucleotides) under Triticum aestivum (bread wheat). RNAcentral describes it as "partial small subunit ribosomal RNA". The record is from RNAcentral. Lineage: Eukaryota; Viridiplantae; Streptophyta; Magnoliopsida; Poales; Poaceae.